Long non-coding RNA from Hippoglossus stenolepis (Pacific halibut), 1939 nucleotides. RefSeq lists it as uncharacterized. The transcript has 2 exons. The record is from RefSeq and is a predicted model, not a curated record. Lineage: Eukaryota; Metazoa; Chordata; Actinopteri; Pleuronectiformes; Pleuronectidae.
UUCACACAUUCACAGUCCCGCCCUGAUCAGAUCCAUGUGUCAAUAUUGCCUCAUCAUUACAGCGCCACCUGCUGGCUACAGGAAGUGACAUGUUUUAUACUUUGAUGCACUGCUCCUGGCUGCUUUACCAUAAACAGCUCAGUCAAGCCAUUGGAUCAUGGUCAGAAUUGUGACAUUUCCUCAAACCGUGUAAACAUUGAGGUGUGGCAAAGUUUCAUUUAUUAUUAUUAUUAUUAUAAACUAGUCGAUGUACAGGUAUUAUAUUGUUAUAGAUAAGAUAAAAUGAAUUAAAUUUAAAAACAAAGUGUGGCUAACAGGAUACAAAUCUGUAGAAUAAGAAUAAAUAUGAAUUCAUUAAUUAUAAAAACUAAAAUAUUAAAACGUAAUAAUAGUAUUAUCUAAUACUAGAAGGGAGACUUUGUUGUCGGCCAUGUUUGAAGGUGAGUCUUCAGUUGAGAUGAAAUCAUAAGAAAUAAAUGGGCAGUAGAUGCAGUGAUGCUAAAACUGCGAUGAUAUGACGAGAUCUGUACGUAGUUCAUCUGUCGCUGAAUUCUGGAGGAGUUGCAGUUGAGAGACUGAGUGGAAGUUUAAUCAGGUGAAAAGAGAGACGUGAUGAUUUAAAAGUAUGUAUAUGUAAAAUUAAUAACUUGUUCUUUGAGGUAGAAAUUAAGUUUGUGUCUGAACUUGGAAGUUACUUCUUAAAUCAACACUAUGUAACUGUUACUGAGCAACAGCGCCCCCUGCAGCCACGCAAGGUGAUUCAGUGGUUCAAUGGUGUUGAUUUGAUGUCAGCAGUGAAGAGAAGAGGACCGAGGAUUGAGCCUUGUGGAACUCCUUUUCUAAUCAUCAUGACACUGGAUCUUUGAAUCACUAGAAGCUACUGCUUGGUUAUAUCAGGUCUGUGGGUUAGUGACCAUUCUCUCUGUUCACAGUCAGUGAAGAAGUGAACAGUCAAGCUGCUGUUUCAAGGUAGAGACGUUGCAUAGUGUUGAUUGAAUUGAAUUUAAUAGUGUCAGACCUUGUCUGGUAAAAGACGUCCGAUUUUUUUAAACCUACAUUUUUACUGGAAUUAUUGAGAAACUAAGAAUCGAAUAGAUGUGGAAACAGAUCAUUGGAUAAAAGAAAAAAUGUGAACGGGAACAUUUGCACCGUUACUCUAUUUAAUCUGCUCAUUAAAUUAAAUAUUAUGUUGGAUUCCUUAUAUAACUUGUGUGAAACAAGGUUUAAGUUGAAAUUAAAAAGAAUGAAAUGUACUUUGAUUUUGUUCAAACUGAGUGAUGAGAUCAUUCAGAACAAAUCAUGUCAUAUAUUUAUAACUCAGGUAUAAUCAGGAGUCUUUUACAUACACAGACACGUCCCUGCUGCAAAUACAGUCUUUGUUUCUGUUGAGUAUUUAAAGGAUCUUUGCUUUUUUAAUGCUGAGCUCUGGAUUUAAUGACUUCAUUCAUUGUAGAAUAUUAUUUUUCUUGCUGGUGCUUAGUUUGCCUGUUAUUUGAUUUACAAUCAGUUAUUCUUUAUUAAGUACUUUAAACUCACUUUAUGUUUAGGAAUUCAUUUUACUGUUUUCAAACUGUUUUAUAAAUAUCAUUGUAAUAAACCUCUUGAAUCUGCUUUGUGUGUGAAAUGGGUUAGGGUUAUCUGGGGUUAGGGGUUAUCUGGGGUUAGGGUUAUCUGGGGUUAGGGUUAUCUGGGGUUAGGGUUAUCUGGGGUUAGGGGUUACAUUUAUCUGCUCAGUGAUAAUGUACGAAUCACGGGACAUGUAUUUGAUAUUUGUAUUUUCUAUUUUAAAAGUUUGCUUGACUUUAAGUCUCCAAUAUAUCACUGUUGAUCAAUGCCAAUGUUAUUGAUGUUAACUUAAGACACAGUUUCUCAAGUUUUCUCUUUGUGAUUGUGUCUUUUUGUUAAAAUCAAAUAAUUAAAGUGUGUUAGUCUGAUUGAA